This 304-nucleotide ribosomal RNA is filed under the name uncultured bacterium. RNAcentral describes it as "partial 16S ribosomal RNA". It matches the Rfam family "Bacterial small subunit ribosomal RNA", at positions 506 to 807 of the family's 1533-position model. The record is from RNAcentral.
CAGCAGUCGCCACGGGAAUACGUAGGUGGCAAGCGUUGUCCGGGAUUAUUGGGCGUAAAGGGCUCGCAGGCGGUUUCUUAAGUCUGAUGUGAAAGCCCCCGGCUCAACCGGGGAGGGUCAUUGGAAACUGGGAAACUUGAGUGCAGAAGAGGAGAGUGGAAUUCCACGUGUAGCGGUGAAAUGCGUAGAGAUGUGGAGGAACACCAGUGGCGAAGGCGACUCUCUGGUCUGUAACUGACGCUGAGGAGCGAAAGCGUGGGGAGCGAACAGGAUUAGAUACCCCUGUAGUCCCUGUCUCUUAUAC